UAAGGAAUUUGUGGAAUUAAUGAUAGUAUAGCAACAUAUGGAAUAUUAUACAAUCCACACUUUUUCAUGGAAACACUGCCCUUUAUAUAUUAAGUAUAAUAAUACAGUAUGAGACAGUAUAUAUAGCAUGACCUCGGUUAUGUGAAAGAAGUCUAGGUGUUUAUGCAUAAAUGAGUUUAGAAGGAUACACCUAAACUGUUAAGGGUGGUUAUCUUUUAUUUUGAUUUUACAAUGAACAAAUACUUUUUUUUUUUUUUGCAGUACGCGGGCCUCUCACUGCUGUGGCCUCUCCUGUUGUGGAGCACAGGCUCCGGACGCGCAGGCUCAGUGGCCAUGGCUCACGGGCCCAGCCGCCCCACGGCAUGUGGGAUCCUCCCGGGCCGGGGCACGAACCCGUGUCCCCUGCAUCGGCAGGCGGACUCUCAACCACUGCGCCACCAGGGAAGCCCAACAAAUACUAUUUUUAUAAUCAGAAAAAAAGUUUUCCAUUUUGGAGAUAAAAACUUUAAAUUGUAACAUUCUCCCUUUCUUUUUUUCUUUUUUAUAAUUUUUAUCGGGAUGUAGUUGAUUUACAAUGUUGUGUACAGCAAAAUGAAUCUGUUAUACAUAUACAUAUAUCCACUCUUUUAGAUUCUUUGGUGCCUGCCACCUUCUACCCCAACCUCAUUUCCGUCUGGACCCUCGGCGGACAUGGGUGUGAUUCUGUGCUUUGGCCUGUGUGCCCGGGGCCAGGUGAAGACGGUGCUGAACGUGCUCCACGACUUUGAGGAGAGGAUCCAGGAGUCGGAGCAGUCCUGGCAGAUCGGCGCUUGGCGGAGUGGGACCUGAGGGCUGGAUUUCUUCUACUCAAGGCCUGGAGAGCAUGGGCAACCCUGCCCCUCCUUCCACGAAGGACCAUCCCUGGAGGCAGGAGACAGUGAAGGGUGCCCUCAUGGUGAUGUACAGCUGCGUGGCCUCGUACUGCCACCCGCAGAUGCUCCUAACCACGUGGACAACCCCAUCACUGCUAAGAUCGUUCACCACUACUCCAGCAGCUGCCAGGUAUAACCCCGGGACGCCAUGGACCCACAGUGCCCAGGGGAUGCCCUCUUUGAGCCAGGCUGGCGGAGAGUCGCUCUGCAUCGUUAUCUGGGCACUGCCAGCCCUACCCAGGAGACAGCCAGGAGUCCUACCGGACACCCAGCAUUUGGGAAGCCCAUUGCCCCGAUCUGCGCCAUUCUCUGCUGCAGUGGGAGGGGGGGCAGCCCUCCCGCGAGCACUGGGCGGGAUGCUUGUGGGUCCCUGAAGACAAGCCCUCCACUCUUCCCAGCCCCUCGCACUCCCUCCCUCACCUCUGCCCUCCACCCUGACACCUGACCCAAGCCCUUUCAUAAGGGACAAGAAUGGGCUUGUCUUCAGAGGUGCAAAGGGACUGGCUACUUUCUUGGAAAGGCAAGGAGGAGAAAACACAG
This 1451-nucleotide long non-coding RNA is filed under the name Monodon monoceros (narwhal). Its description in RNAcentral is "lncRNA (ENSMMNG00015008913.1)". The record is from RNAcentral. Lineage: Eukaryota; Metazoa; Chordata; Mammalia; Artiodactyla; Monodontidae.